This 465-nucleotide ribosomal RNA is filed under the name uncultured bacterium. Its description in RNAcentral is "partial 16S ribosomal RNA". It matches the Rfam family "Bacterial small subunit ribosomal RNA", at positions 28 to 507 of the family's 1533-position model. The record is from RNAcentral.
GACGAACGCUGGCGGCGUGCUUAACACAUGCAAGUCGAACGGAAAGGCCCUGCUUGCCGGGUACUCGAGUGGCGAACGGGUGAGUAACACGUGGGUGAUCUGCCCUGCACUUCGGGAUAAGCCUGGGAAACUGGGUCUAAUACCGGAUAGGAGCCAUUUUUAGUGUGAUGGUUGGAAAGUUUUUUCGGUGUAGGAUGAGCUCGCGGCCUAUCAGCUUGUUGGUGGGGUAAUGGCCUACCAAGGCGGCGACGGGUAGCCGGCCUGAGAGGGUGGACGGCCACAUUGGGACUGAGAUACGGCCCAGACUCCUACGGGAGGCAGCAGGGGGGAAUAUUGCACAAUGGGCGCAAGCCUGAUGCAGCGACGCCGCGGGGGGGAUGACGGCCUUCGGGUUGUAAACUCCUUUCGCUAGGGACGAAGCUUUUUGUGACGGUACCUAGAUAAGAAGCACCGGCUAACUACGUG